RNAcentral lists this non-coding RNA (25 nucleotides) under Cricetulus griseus (Chinese hamster). Lineage: Eukaryota; Metazoa; Chordata; Mammalia; Rodentia; Cricetidae. The record is from RNAcentral.
AAGAGCGAAGAUCAAGAAGACAAGG